GCCGGGGUGGCGGAAUUGGUAGACGCGCUACUCUCAAAAAGUAGUGAGGGCAACCUCAUAUCGGUUCGAUUCCGAUCCUCGGCACCA
Molecule: transfer RNA, 87 nt
Filed under: bacterium
Lineage: Bacteria
Description: tRNA-Leu
Rfam family: tRNA
About the family: Transfer RNA (tRNA) molecules are approximately 80 nucleotides in length.
Source: RNAcentral